RNAcentral lists this transfer RNA (84 nucleotides) under Candidatus Iainarchaeum sp. RNAcentral describes it as "tRNA-Leu". It matches the Rfam family "tRNA". Rfam says of the family: Transfer RNA (tRNA) molecules are approximately 80 nucleotides in length. Their secondary structure includes four short double-helical elements and three loops (D, anti-codon, and T loops). Lineage: Archaea; Nanobdellati; Candidatus Iainarchaeota; Candidatus Iainarchaeia; Candidatus Iainarchaeales; Candidatus Iainarchaeaceae. The record is from RNAcentral.
GCAGGGAUAUGGAAGCGGUCAAACCAGCAGGCUUCAGGAGCCUGUCGCUUAGUGCGUUCGGCGGUUCGAACCCGCCUCCCUGCA